AACUUUUGGCAAUGGAUCUCUUGGCUCUCGCAUCGAUGAAGAACGCAGCGAAAUGCGAUACGUAAUGUGAAUUGCAGAAUUCAGUUAAUCAUCGAAUCUUUGAACGCACCUUGCGCCCCUUGGAAUUCCGAGGGGCACACCCGUUUGAGUGUCGUGAACAUCCUUCAACCUUUCUUGGUUUCUUAACCGGGGAAGGCUUGGAUUUUGGGGGUCUUUCAUUGCUGGCCUCUUUGAAGCCAGCUCCUCCUAAAUGGAUUAGUGUGGUCUGCUUUGCCGAUCCUUGACGUGAUAAGAUGUUUCUACGUCUUGGGUUUCGCACUGUCGCUUUAGACCCCGCUUCUAACCGUCUUGCAUUCAAGACAGAGUUUUAAACCUUGACCUCAAAUCGGGUGAGACUACCCGCUGAACUUAAGCAUAUCAAUAAGCGGAGGCU
Molecule: unclassified non-coding RNA, 433 nt
Filed under: uncultured Russula
Lineage: Eukaryota; Fungi; Basidiomycota; Agaricomycetes; Russulales; Russulaceae
Description: sequence contains ITS2
Rfam family: 5.8S ribosomal RNA (bases 1-154)
Source: RNAcentral